CGCGGCGCUGGCCGAGGGCACCGGCGCGCGCGUGCUGCCGAUGCGCGACGGCCGCCUGCUCGACGCCGACCGCGACGGC
Molecule: transfer RNA, 79 nt
Filed under: Saccharothrix algeriensis
Lineage: Bacteria; Bacillati; Actinomycetota; Actinomycetes; Pseudonocardiales; Pseudonocardiaceae
Also listed under: 1 other name
Description: tRNA-Gly
Source: RNAcentral